GUUGCUAUUACAUAUUGUGAUUUUAGCGUCACCUUUCACCUUUCACUGUUGGUGCUCGGCCCAAGUUAAAGCGGACACGUUUACAUGAAUGAAAUUGUGAAAGAGAUGCGGAGCGGCAGCGAAACGUUGCUGCCACGGAACGUCACCGCCAUCUGUCGUCGGGCAAUCGCCUCCGCCGCGCAGGGAUCUCGCGAAUCUGCGCAUAAUCACGUGAUAAAGUAAACACUGAAGUAAACACUGCAGAACACAUCUCCAUUUUUGCCUGGCAGAACAACAAUAUAUUUUUUUUGUAGCAAGCAACAACAAAACAGUAACAUCAUCCCUGCUGGUAUUUGACAUAGGCUCCCAUACACCUGCCCGGGAUAUACCUGACAUGCUUCUUAAAUUUUGGACCACCAGAAUCAGCAUGAUUCAUUUGUGUCUGAAAACUUUUGACAAGUUGACUUCAUGUUCGUUCCCGCCCAUUAGGACGUUUCAAAGUGUAAAAUACAAUCUGCCUUGAUGAUGGACUAUUUUUUUAUUUUUUUUAUUUUGAAAGUAAACAUUUUGUCUCAGCUCUGCUCUUUUAAUGUCUUUAAUGUCCUUU
Entelurus aequoreus (snake pipefish) is the source of this 586-nucleotide long non-coding RNA. RefSeq lists it as uncharacterized. The record is from RefSeq and is a predicted model, not a curated record. The transcript is spliced from 3 exons. Lineage: Eukaryota; Metazoa; Chordata; Actinopteri; Syngnathiformes; Syngnathidae.